GACGAACGCUGGCGGCGUGCUUAACACAUGCAAGUCGAACGGAAAGGCCCUGCUUGCAGGGUACUCGAGUGGCGAACGGGUGAGUAACACGUGGGUGAUCUGCCCUGCACUUCGGGAUAAGCCUGGGAAACUGGGUCUAAUACCGGAUAGGAGCCAUUUUUAGUGUGAUGGUUGGAAAGUUUUUUUCGGUGUAGGAUGAGCUCGCGGCCUAUCAGCUUGUUGGUGGGGUAAUGGCCUACCAAGGCGGCGACGGGUAGCCGGCCUGAGAGGGUGGACGGCCACCGUGGGGGGGUGGCGGGGCCGAGGGUGCGGGGGGAGCGGGAGGGGGGGAAUAUGGCACGAGGGGGGGGAGCGUGGUGCGGAGGCGCCGGGGGGGGGUGGGUGGCCGUGGUGUUGUGCCUGCAUGUCGGUGGGGAUUAGGCUUUUGGGGUACGUACGUAGAAAAGGGGCAACGGAUACCUAGGGGCCGGCAGCCGCGGUACAUUCGGAAGAGCAACCGUCUGAGC
This 506-nucleotide ribosomal RNA is filed under the name uncultured bacterium. Its description in RNAcentral is "partial 16S ribosomal RNA". The stretch from base 20 to 325 matches the Rfam family "Bacterial small subunit ribosomal RNA", at positions 47 to 358 of the family's 1533-position model. The record is from RNAcentral.